This 67-nucleotide transfer RNA is filed under the name Goniurosaurus luii. Its description in RNAcentral is "tRNA-Thr". It matches the Rfam family "tRNA". Rfam says of the family: Transfer RNA (tRNA) molecules are approximately 80 nucleotides in length. The record is from RNAcentral. Lineage: Eukaryota; Metazoa; Chordata; Lepidosauria; Squamata; Eublepharidae.
GUCUUGGUAGCUUAACUUAAAGCCUUGAUUUUGUAAAUCAAAAAUGGGUAUCACCACCCCCAGAACA